RNAcentral lists this ribosomal RNA (497 nucleotides) under uncultured bacterium. RNAcentral describes it as "partial 16S ribosomal RNA". It matches the Rfam family "Bacterial small subunit ribosomal RNA", at positions 28 to 523 of the family's 1533-position model. The record is from RNAcentral.
GAUGAACGCUGGCGGCGUGCUUAACACAUGCAAGUCGAACGAAGCACCUUAUUCUGAUUUCUUCGGAAUGAAAAAUUUGGUGACUGAGUGGCGGACGGGUGAGUAACGCGUGGGUAACCUGCCUCAUACAGGGGGAUAACAGUUAGAAAUGACUGCUAAUACCGCAUAAGACCACAGAACCGCAUGGUGCAGGGGUAAAAACUACGGUGGUAUGAGAUGGACCCGCGUCUGAUUAGGUAGUUGGUGGGGUAACGGCCUACCAAGCCGACGAUCAGUAGCCGACCUGAGAGGGUGACCGGCCACAUUGGGACUGAGACACGGCCCAAACUCCUACGGGAGGCAGCAGUGGGGAAUAUUGCACAAUGGGGGAAACCCUGAUGCAGCGACGCCGCGUGAGCGAUGAAGUAUUUCGGUAUGUAAAGCUCUAUCAGCAGGGAAGAAAAUGACGGUACCUGACUAAGAAGCACCGGCUAAAUACGUGCCAGCCGCCGCAGUAA